UACGGGGGGGGCAAGCGUUGUUCGGAAUUACUGGGCGGAAAGGGCUCGUAGGCGGCCAACUAAGUCAGACGUGAAAUCCCUCGGCUUAACCGGGGAACUGCAUCUGAUACUGGAUGGCUUGAGAUUGGGAGAGGGAUGCGGAAUUCCAGGUGUAGCGGUGAAAUGCGUAGAUAUCUGGAGGAACACCGGUGGCGAAGGCGGCAUCCUGGACCAACACUGACGCUGAGGAGCGAAAGCCAGGGGAGCAAACGGG
RNAcentral lists this ribosomal RNA (253 nucleotides) under uncultured bacterium. Its description in RNAcentral is "partial 16S ribosomal RNA". It matches the Rfam family "Bacterial small subunit ribosomal RNA", at positions 524 to 776 of the family's 1533-position model. The record is from RNAcentral.